This 482-nucleotide long non-coding RNA is filed under the name Homo sapiens (human). Its description in RNAcentral is "SOX9 antisense RNA 1". The record is from RNAcentral. Lineage: Eukaryota; Metazoa; Chordata; Mammalia; Primates; Hominidae.
GGCGGGGGGUGCUGCGGGGAAGGCGGGGGACCCGGGACUUCCAAGUGUUCUGGCCAUGGAGGCAUGGUAUCCGUAACAUCCCCCAAAGGAGCUAAAGAAGAAAUCCACAAUUUACCAUGAGCAUUUCUCGUCUGAAGAUUGCCAAGCGAUUCCUCCAGGACAUUCCUCAAGAUCAAUUUCUGUUCAUCCACCUUGUCCUGGGAGGGACAUCAAUGGGUUUCCAUGUCCUUUGGCUUCUGGUUGAGUUCACUCAGUGGAGAACCCUGGCAAGAGGCAGGAAAAGGGGAGGAAGGUGAAAACCAUCCAUUUCUUGGAGAAGUGCCACGGUGGGGUUGCAAGUCCCAGGAUCAAGUUUUCGAUGUGUCUCUUUUUCCCGUAAAGUGGCUGAAAUCUGAAGCUGAAUCUGCAAGUGUCAUGGAGUCAUUGAAUCUCACAGUCUCAACUGAUAAAAGUUAUUAAAGGUCGUCUGGUUCAGCCUUCUA